This 87-nucleotide microRNA precursor is filed under the name Tribolium castaneum (red flour beetle). Its description in RNAcentral is "microRNA tca-mir-11619a precursor (tca-mir-11619a-2)". Lineage: Eukaryota; Metazoa; Arthropoda; Insecta; Coleoptera; Tenebrionidae. The record is from miRBase by way of RNAcentral.
CUUUCGAACGGAACACGAAGUCUGUGAUAUUCUUCAUUUUAUAAGUUAACUAAUGAAGAGUCAUUGGCUUGGUUUUUCGUUCAACAC